GAUGAACGCUGGCGGCGUGCCUAAUACAUGCAAGUCGAGCGAACAGACGAGGAGCUUGCUCCUCUGACGUUAGCGGCGGACGGGUGAGUAACACGUGGAUAACCUACCUAUAAGACUGGGAUAACUUCGGGAAACCGGAGCUAAUACCGGAUAAUAUAUUGAACCGCAUGGUUCAAUAGUGAAAGACGGUUUUGCUGUCACUUAUAGAUGGAUCCGCGCCGCAUUAGCUAGUUGGUAAGGUAACGGCUUACCAAGGCAACGAUGCGUAGCCGACCUGAGAGGGUGAUCGGCCACACUGGAACUGAGACACGGUCCAGACUCCUACGGGAGGCAGCAGUAGGGAAUCUUCCGCAAUGGGCGAAAGCCUGACGGAGCAACGCCGCGUGAGUGAUGAAGGACUUCGGAUCGUAAAACUCUGUUAUUAGGGAAGAACAAAUGUGUAAGUAACUAUGCACGUCUUGACGGUACCUAAUCAGAAAGCCACGGCUAACUACGUA
RNAcentral lists this ribosomal RNA (497 nucleotides) under uncultured bacterium. RNAcentral describes it as "partial 16S ribosomal RNA". It matches the Rfam family "Bacterial small subunit ribosomal RNA", at positions 28 to 507 of the family's 1533-position model. The record is from RNAcentral.